GGGGAAUAUUGCGCAAUGGGGGGAACCCUGACGCAGCGACGCCGCGUGAAGGAAGAAGGCCUUCGGGUUGUAAACUUCUUUGAUUGGGGAAGAAAAAUGACGGUACCCAAAGAACAAGCCACGGCUAACUACGUGCCAGCAGCCGCGGUAAUACGUAGGUGGCGAGCGUUAUCCGGAAUUACUGGGUGUAAAGGGCGUGUAGGCGGGGAUGCAAGUCAGAUGUGAAAUUCCGGGGCUCAACCUCGGCACUGCAUCUGAAACUGUGUCUCUUGAGUGCUGGAGAGGAAAGUGGAAUUCCUAGUGUAGCGGUGAAAUGCGUAGAGAUUAGGAGGAACACCAGUGGCGAAGGCGACUUUCUGGACAGCAACUGACGCUGAGGCGCGAGAGCGUGGGGAGCAAAC
RNAcentral lists this ribosomal RNA (401 nucleotides) under uncultured bacterium. Its description in RNAcentral is "bacterial SSU rRNA". It matches the Rfam family "Bacterial small subunit ribosomal RNA", at positions 356 to 773 of the family's 1533-position model. The record is from RNAcentral.